GUUUGGAAAGGUCCUCUGGAGAAGGGAAAGGCUACCCAUUCCAGUAUUCUGGCUUGGAGAAUUCCAUGGCCUGUAUAGCCCAUGGGAUCACAAAGAGUCAGACACAACUGAGCAACUGAACGGAAGCUGCCAAUCUGAUGCUCUAAUACUUUCAAAUACUUUAAUGUGUAUAUCCUACAUCAAGAAUGUUUCUCCCAUAUAGCCACAAUACCAUCAUCAAAACUGAGAAAUCAGCAUUGUUACAUUAGUACCAUGUAAUACUCAGCCUUCAUAUUUAGAUUUGUCCAGUUGUACAAUAAUAUUGUUAAUUGCAAAUAAAGACUGUUCAGAAUCACGCUGUGUAUUCAGUUGGGAUAUCCUUUCAUCUCACUGAGCAUUCAGCAACUCAUCAAUAACAGUUCAGGUUUUCCUACCCUGUGCUGGUUCCCACAGUGGUUUCUUCCUGUGAGUCUCUGCUCUGGGGAACUCUUACUCCCUGUAUUCUCCUGUCUUUCUCCAUAAUUUGAGGGAUAGCAAUUUUCCCUGUGUCUUCCCUUGUAUGGCUUCUAAAAGAGUUAUUGAUUUAUUGGUCUGUUCAGCUUUUUACUUACUGUUGAGACAGAGUCACUACUUCCUUGCUCCUUACAUGCAGAAUUGAAAACUGGAAAGGAUACUUUCCCCUAUGAUGCCUCAGUUACCACAUUUCAAAUGUGGGUUAUUUCAGCUGGGGCUUCCCUGAUAGCUCAGUUGGUAAAGAAUCUGCCUGCAAUGCAGGAGACCCCAGUUUGAUCCAGUUUCCUUUCGUUACUUUCAUUCUGUAGCAGUUCUUUGAUCUUUUUGACUUGUUUUGUUUUGUGCAGUGUUCCUCAGUUUGAGUUUAAGUAAUGGUGCUUCAUGAUUAAAGUUAUUUACACUUGGCAGUAAGAGCGCAAAGGGGAUGUUGUGUUGUUUGAGUUGCAUCUUUUCUGGUCAUCUGUGAUUUCACUUUGUCCCAUUUGGGGUUCACUUUGAUCCUGUGAAUGAGGUUGCGGCUACUGUGCUUUUCCACUGUAAAGUUACUCUUUCACUUUUUAAAACUAGUAAGUUUUUAUGUAAUUAUGUGAGGUAAUGGACACAUCCAUUAGCUUGAGUGUCAUAAUCAUUUCAUAAUGUACAUGUGUAUUAAAACUUCACAUUGUAUACCUUAAAUCUAUACAACUUUUACAAAUAAAGAAUAAAAUUUUGUAGUACAGUACUUUGAAACUUUUUCCAUUGGAAACUGCUUUUCUCACCCAACUCAGCCUGUGACUUUUCAAAGCAGCUGCCCUCCCCACUCCCUGCAGAUACUCAGUCUUCUCAGGCUCCAACAUCUCAUACCAGGUAAUCUCUCUGUUUGGAGUCAUGCCCCGCCCUCUUUGAACUCUGCCAUCCCACCAUGGGAUCUGGACCACCAGGGGUCCCUGCCCCCUUCCAGGGCAAUGCUUCCUUUUUUCUACCCAUUUUUUGGCUUCAGAACGAGUUUUUUUUAGGAAGAGAAAGGGAAGCAGAGAUUACAUGCUAUUUAAGGUCAUUUCCAACUCCCGCAUUCUACAAUAGAUAAAGUAAUAUGGUUAAUUUAAUUUGCAAGUUUAUGCUCAGAAAAUAGGGGUAGAGCAGGGGUCCCCAGCCUGCAGGCUAAGGACCGGUACCUGCUUUCAGAGGAGCAGUGGCAUUAGAUUAGAAAUAAAGAGCACAAUUUUCCAUUCUUGUGGUGAGAAUGGCCUUACUAAAACCACUUAAGAAUCCAUUAACUGUUACAUUCAAAUAGUACAAAGUCUCUGAAAAAGCUAUUUGAUCCUCACAGUAUUAAGCAUAAUAAUGACUGAGUGGCUUGUGAAUCCCAUAACUACAUGUGAAAAUGAGAGUGGGGGGAGCAUUUCUUUUUGCUUUAUCACAGGAUUCUCUUCAUAUGUGUUCAUAUUCUGAUAUUACAUAUGUUAAUAAUUUCCUUCCUUAUUGCUUCACAAUAAACUAUUUCCAAAAAUUAAAAAAAAAAGCGCAUAAUAAAUGUAAUGCACUUGAAUCAUCCUUAAACUAUCCCCUCUAUACCUGGUCUGUGGAAAAAUUGUCUUCCAGGAAAUCAGUCCCUGGUUCCAAAAAGUUUGGGGACUGCUGAGGAAUCACUGGGACAAAUGACCUUUCCUGAAAUCAUCACUGAAACCAGAGCAAAGUGAGCCAAUAAUUGCAUUUUUUAUGAAUGAAACGUCUGUGACAACCCUGCAUUGAACAAGCAUAUCAGCACCAUUUUUCAAACUUUGUGUCUAUGUCACAUUUUGUGGUCAUGUAUGGAUGUGAGAGUUGGACUGUGAAGAAAGCUGAGCGCUGAAGAAUUGAUG
Molecule: long non-coding RNA, 2333 nt
Organism: Bubalus bubalis (water buffalo)
Lineage: Eukaryota; Metazoa; Chordata; Mammalia; Artiodactyla; Bovidae
Exons: 3
Source: RefSeq, a predicted model, not a curated record